This 497-nucleotide ribosomal RNA is filed under the name uncultured bacterium. RNAcentral's name for it is "partial 16S ribosomal RNA". It matches the Rfam family "Bacterial small subunit ribosomal RNA", at positions 28 to 507 of the family's 1533-position model. The record is from RNAcentral.
GAUGAACGCUGGCGGUGUGCCUAAUACAUGCAAGUCGAGCGAACGGACGAGAAGCUUGCUUCUUUGAUGUUAGCUGCGGACGGGUGAGUAACACGUGGAUAACCUAUCUAUAAGACUGGGAUAACUUCGGUAAACCGGAUCUAAUACCGGAUAAUAGUUUGAACCGCAUGUUUCACAAGUGAAAGACGGUCUUUCUGUCCCUUAUAGACGGAUCCGCGCUGCAUUAGCUAGUUGGUAAGGUAACGGCUUACCAAUGCAUCGAUGCAUAGCUGACCUGGGAGGGUGAUCGGCCACACUGGAACUGAGACACGGUCCAGACUCCUACGGGAGGCAGCAGUAGGGAAUCUUCCGCAAUGGGCGAAAGCCUGACGGAGCAACGCCGCGUGAGUGAUGAAGGUCUUCGGAUCGUAAAACUCUGUUAUUAGGGACGAACAUAUGUGUAAGUAACUGUGCACAACUUGACGGUACCUAAUCAGAACGCGACGGCUAACUACGUG